UACGUAGGUGACAAGCGUUAUCCGGAUUUAUUGGGCGUAAAGCGCACGCAGGCGGCGGAUUAAGUCUGACGUGAAAUCUCUCGGCUUAACCGGGAGCGGUCGUUGGAAACUAAUCGGCUUGAGGCGAUGAGAGGGGUGUGGAAUUCCCGGUGUAGUGGCGGAAUGCGUAGAUAUCGGGAGGAACAUCAGUGGCGAAAGCGGCACCCUGGCAUUAGCCUGACGCUCAGGUGCGAAAGCGUGGGGAGCGAACGGG
Molecule: ribosomal RNA, 253 nt
Filed under: uncultured bacterium
Lineage: Bacteria
Description: partial 16S ribosomal RNA
Rfam family: Bacterial small subunit ribosomal RNA
Source: RNAcentral